UACCACCACCAGCACUAGUAAUACUACUCUACUUUCUCUGCUUCCAAGAAAACCACAGUUACCACUACCAGUAGUAGUACAACCAUUGGUAAAAACGUCUAUCUUGCCUUCCAACCUUUUUCCCAGCAAUUGGGGGCGGUGGUCGCGGCCCGAAUCCUCCCAAUUUUGUCAUCUCCGAUGAAAAAAUGAACGACUUGCCCUUCAAAAACGCCGGGUCGAGGGUUGUAGAAGAAGAACAACAAGGAGAAGGAGAAGAGCAAGGCUGCUUUGGUAGCUGCAAUCCCAUCAUCCCAACACCAGCAAUCUACCUGCUGCUCUUACUGUUCACACUGGGACUGGGGUUCUCAAUUUUCAUCCUGGUUGUGGUCCACAACGCCCUCUUCUUCCUUGUGCUCCUCUGCUUCUCCGCUCUACUCGCUGCAUUUCUCCUUUGGAACUCUCUCAAUAAUUCCGGCGGCAGCUGCAGCAGCAGGAGAAAUGGGGCCCUUCUCUCUUACCUCCAUUUCUUCCCCGAUUCUGACCUCAGUCUCGCAGCACCAGGCCAGCUCGUCAAACUCACUGGCGUUUCCUCCUGCGGAAGUGUUUCUUUGGAGUCUUCAUACGAGAAAGUCAAUCGAUGUAUCUACACAUCCACUUUGUUGUAUGAGUUUGAAGAACCAGGUUUGAAACCCAUUGAUGAUAUGAAAUCAUGCUUCCAGUGGAGACUGGCAUAUUCUGAGGAUUUCUUUUGGCAGAGAUAUUCAACUGACUUCUACAUAACCGACAGAAGGUCUGGCAUCAGAGCUCUGGUGAAGGCUGGUACUGGCUGUAAAGUCAUUCCCUUGAUCAUCGAGAGUAGACUAGUAAAAACAACCAGGAAAUGCAAGGUUCUGUCUUCUACCUUGGGGAAAUGGCUUAUAGAAAGAAACCUUUCUGCUGAAGCUCGUCUGUUACGUUUGGAAGAAGGAUACAUAAAAGAAGGCAGCUCUGUGAGUGUGAUAGGAAUGUGUCAAAGACAGAAUGAUACUAUGAUGAUUGUCCAACCGCAGGAGACUCUUUCUACAGGAUGUCUGUGGCGGAAGUUGUUGCUCCCUGUGGAUGUUGAUGGACUGAUAUUCGGGCCACCCAAUAUGGCAGAUCCAGCUUCUCACUGAAAUGCGUCGCAACCUUCUGAUUAGGAUUAAAGAGCAGCGGAUUGCAUUCUGACGCAGUGUUUCUACACUCUUUUUUCUCUCUUUAAUCUCUGGUUUUUCAUUUUUCAGCGGCCUGGGAGGCUGGAUUUGACAUCUGACCUUUAUAUGUUUGGUACAGCAGGAAUCAGGAGAGGGGCAGGAGGAGUUGAUAGUGCACCGGAACAGUGUUUAACUUUUUAAACAGACAUGAAAUCAUCCUUUUCUCCGACAAAAUAAAGCAAGGUGAUAAGCAGCUUGAUUCUAAGGAGCACAAGCAAUCAAACAGCAGCAUUCGGUGUCAAAGUAUUAUCAACUCUCAAAAGCUUCAGAGUUGGUGACUGACAAGUGACAAACCUUGUUCGCGUGUAGCAGUAAACUUGAAAGUGAUUAACCAGUUGGGGCAAAUAGCUGGUUCCUCAGGCAGCAUAACCAUUCCUUUCCGCACAGCUUGGCUAGAACAAUAUAUUGUGAUGCAAUUAUCAUAGAACAAGCACACAUCAGAGAGCGAAAAAGGAUGGCUUUUUAUCCCAGAUAUCCUUCUAACGCAGCAGAAAUCUCACAGCGGGUCACAUUAUUGACAUGCAGCAAGCAGAAUCACAGAACAAGCACACGAAAGAGAGAAGGAAAGAGGGGGAGAGGGGGGGGGGAGGGGUGGUGGUGUUGGAGUGACGGAGAGAUAUCUUGAAUAUUCAAAUCCUCAAGAUUACGGUUAAGCAAACAAAAUGGUCCAUAUCUGGCUCUGU
This is a non-coding RNA of Coffea arabica (coffee), 1894 nucleotides long. Lineage: Eukaryota; Viridiplantae; Streptophyta; Magnoliopsida; Gentianales; Rubiaceae. The record is from RefSeq and is a predicted model, not a curated record.